Molecule: ribosomal RNA, 3256 nt
Filed under: Delatylus andersoni
Lineage: Eukaryota; Metazoa; Nematoda; Chromadorea; Rhabditida; Neotylenchidae
Description: SSU rRNA
Rfam family: Eukaryotic small subunit ribosomal RNA (bases 1-1746)
Source: RNAcentral
AUGUCUAAGUAUAAACGAUUUUAUCGUGAAACCGCGAACGGCUCAUUAAACCAGCUAUAAUCUACUUGAUCUUGACGUAUCUUACUUGGAUAACUGUGGUAAUUCUAGAGCUAAUACAUGCACCAAAGCUCUGACCUUGCGGGAAGAGUGCAUUUAUUAGAGCAAAACCAAGCGGCUUCGGUCGUUUUUUGCUGACUCAGAAUAACUCAGCUGAUCGCACGGUCUUUGAACCGGCGACGUGUCUUUUGAGUAUCUGCCUUAUCAAUUUUCGAUGGUAGUGUAUCUGACUACCAUGGUGUUGACGGGUAACGGAGAAUAAGGGUUCGACUCCGGAGAAGGGGCCUGAGAAAUGGCCACUACGUCUAAGGAUGGCAGCAGGCGCGCAAAUUACCCACUCUCGGAAUGAGGAGGUAGUGACGAGAAAUAACGAGACCGUUCUCUAUGAGGCCGGUUAUCGGAAUGGGUACAAUUUAAACCCUUUAACGAGUAUCUAUGAGAGGGCAAGUCUGGUGCCAGCAGCCGCGGUAAUUCCAGCUCUCAAAAUGCAUAGAACCAUUGCUGCGGUUAAAAAGCUCGUAGUUGAAUCUAUGCCUGAGGCUUGGUCCACUCAUUGAGUUGGCACUAAGUUCUUUGGCUUUUUUCGUCGGUUUUCUUGUCGUGGCCUUUAUUGGUGGCGGCAAGUGGCUGACAAUUUUACUUUGAACAAAUCAGAGUGCUCAAAACAGGCGUUUCGCUUGUAUGCUUUUGCAUGGAAUAAUAGAAUAUGACUUCGGUCUAGUUUUAUUGGUUUUAUAGAUCGUUGUAAUGAUUAAAAGAGACAAACGGGGGCAUUCGUAUUGUUGCGUGAGAGGUGAAAUUCUUGGACCGCAGCAAGACGACCUACAGCGAAAGCAUUUGCCAAGCUUGUCUUCAUUAAUCAAGAACGAAAGUCAGAGGAUCGAAGGUGAUCAGAUACCGCCCUAGUUCUGACCGUAAACGAUGCCAACUAGCGAUUCGCCGGCGGAAUUUUUUGCCCUGGUGAGGAGCUUCCCGGAAACGAAAGUCUUCCGGUUCCGGGGGAAGUAUGGUUGCAAAGCUGAAACUUAAAGGAAUUGACGGAAGGGCACCACCAGGAGUGGAGCCUGCGGCUUAAUUUGACUCAACACGGGAAAACUCACCCGGCCCGGACACUAUAAGGAUUGACAGAUUGAUAGCUCUUUCAUGAUUUGGUGGAUGGUGGUGCAUGGCCGUUCUUAGUUCGUGGAGUGAUUUGUCUGGUUUAUUCCGAUAACGAGCGAGACUCUAGCCUACUAAAUAGUUCACUCAUUGCUUUGUGUAGUGUGACUUCCUAGAGGAAUUUUCGGUUUUCAGCCGCAUGAAAUUGAGCAAUAACAGGUCUGUGAUGCCCUUAGAUGUCCGGGGCUGCACGCGCGCUACACUGGUAAAGUCAGCGUGCGUUUCCUUUCUCGAAAGAGAUUGGUAAACCAUUGAAAGUUUGCCGUGAUUGGGAUCGGAAAUUGCAAUUAUUUUCUGUGAACGAGGAAUUCCAAGUAAGUGUGAGUCAUCAACUCGCGCUGAUUACGUCCCUGCCCUUUGUACACACCGCCCGUCGCUGCCCGGGACUGAGCCAUUUCGAGAAAUUUGGGGAUUGCUAACUGACGGUCUUUCGGGAUUGUCUUUCGGCGAGAACCAGCUUAAUCGUAGUGGCUUGAACCGGGCAAAAGUCGUAACAAGGUGGCUGUAGGUGAACCUGCUGCCGGAUCAUUAUCGAUAAUAUAAAAUAAAAUAAUACGCUAAUCAAAUCGAAUACGAUAUGAUCGAAAUUGAACGAGUAAUUUGUAAUGAUGCAUGUAACAAUUCUAUGUUUGCUUUCGCUGUUCGUCUUCGUUGGAUGGUUGUUUUGAAGUGUUGGCUCGGGCUCUAGCCUCUUUUUAUUUGAUUGCUGCUGCAAUAACGUGUUCGUGUCGUUGGCAAUAUUCUAAGUUGUGUCUCAAGUGAAAGCUUGUCGUUGAUUUCUAGACAAGGUAAUGCUAUGCUCUGGACACCACGACUUGAUUUUUGUCGUUAAGUGAAUGUUGCCCGCAUGAAAUUAGAGUAGCGUUGUUGUGGUCGUCAUUUUGAGCAUUGAUUUUUUUCCAGCUGACCGCCAACCGACUUGAGGACGUAUGAGAUUUUCCAGGCGUUAGCAACGUUUGAACGAAUAUUUGAAUUGUUGAUUCAUAUAUGCACAACGAAUGUAAUGAAUAUAAAUAAAUGAAUGAACAACGGCUUAUGUUGGUUUCUGUGCGCCACCGAGCAAUUGUCAGCGCGUAUAAUACGUGCUGGUGUCCGUGAUUGUGUUGAAGUGGUGCGAGACGCGAGUGCACAUGCUAUGGCCGUGGUCAUCACGGUCGUGGUGUGUGUUCGGCGCGAGAAUCAAUGAGCGCUGGAUUGGCGCCGCCAACAACAUACAUUGAUUUUAAUUGAUUUUUGUUAAUAUAAAAAAUACGCAGCCUUACCGAUGGAUCACUCGGUUCGUAGUUUGAUGAAGAACGCAGCUAACUGCGAUAAUUAAUACAAUCUGCAGAAACUUUGAGUAUUAAAUUGUCGAAUGCACAUUGCGCCAUCGGAGUCACAUCCUUUGGCACGUCUGGCUCAGGGGCUUUAAUACUACACAAACUUGAUUUUGGUUUGGUAGAGUCGUAAGCGCUUAGCUGUUAGCGUGCGCCCGAUUUUGCGCGCUUAGCUUUAGUGCUUAUGGCCCGUAUGGCUUGGGCAACGAGUUGGCCAUUAGAUUUUUGGCUGGACUUGUUGCUUUUGCCUAAUGGUUGCUAUGCUUUGUCGAAGGCUUUCGUGUGUUUGCUGAUUUCGCAUUCACCGCGACUGCCAACUGAUUUCUUUCGACGAUAGCCCCGAUGUGUUUGCGUGUGUGGUGUGUGGAUAGACCGGUGUUGUGAUCGGUCGUGUGUGGCUUAAUGAUUUUUAGCGUGUCGACCCGACUGCUGAUGUUAUGUUAACGGUUUGAUUUUUGUUUUCACCGACGUCAGUGGUCCAAGCAUGACUUUUGCUUGGUAGCCAAAUGCCUCGUCUGAUGAGUUCCGACGCGGGUGUUUUGGCUAUGUUUGGUUUGCAUGCAAUGUCACCCACGAUUGUGUCGCGCUAGCCUCGUUUUAAACGUCGGUUUUCGUCUUGCAUACUGCCCGCAUUCAGCAUUAUUAUUUUAAUUUUUUAAUAAUGCCCUGAGCUCAGGCGUAAUUACCCGCUGAACUUAAGCAUAUAAUCUCUAGAGGCUCCCCGG